AACGAACGCUGGCGGCAGGCCUAACACAUGCAAGUCGAACGCUGUAGCAAUACAGAGUGGCAGACGGGUGAGUAACGCGUGGGAACCUUCCCAAUGGUGCGGAAUAGCCCAGGGAAACUUGGGGUAAUACCGCAUAAGCCCUUAGGGGGAAAGAUUUAUCGCCAUUGGAUGGGCCCGCGUCGGAUUAGCUAGUUGGUGAGGUAAUGGCUCACCAAGGCAACGAUCCGUAGCUGGUUUGAGAGAAUGACCAGCCACACUGGGACUGAGACACGGCCCAGACUCCUACGGGAGGCAGCAGUGGGGAAUCUUGGACAAUGGGCGCAAGCCUGAUCCAGCCAUGCCGCGUGAGUGACGAAGGCCUUAGGGUUGUAAAGCUCUUUUGCCGGGGACGAUGAUGACGGUACCCGGAGGAUAAGUCCCGGCUAACUUCGUGCCAGCAGCCGCCGUAA
RNAcentral lists this ribosomal RNA (449 nucleotides) under uncultured bacterium. RNAcentral describes it as "partial 16S ribosomal RNA". It matches the Rfam family "Bacterial small subunit ribosomal RNA", at positions 29 to 523 of the family's 1533-position model. The record is from RNAcentral.